This 1371-nucleotide ribosomal RNA is filed under the name uncultured bacterium. RNAcentral's name for it is "bacterial SSU rRNA". It matches the Rfam family "Bacterial small subunit ribosomal RNA". The record is from RNAcentral.
AGAGUUUGAUCCUGGCUCAGAACGAACGCUGGCGGCGUGGAUAAGACAUGCAAGUCGAACGAGAGAAUUGCUAGCUUGCUAAUAAUUCUCUAGUGGCGCACGGGUGAGUAACACGUGAGUAACCUGCCCCCGAGAGCGGGAUAGCCCUGGGAAACUGGGAUUAAUACCGCAUAGUAUCGAAAGAUUAAAGCAGCAAUGCGCUUGGGGAUGGGCUCGCGGCCUAUUAGUUAGUUGGUGAGGUAACGGCUCACCAAGGCGAUGACGGGUAGCCGGUCUGAGAGGAUGUCCGGCCACACUGGAACUGAGACACGGUCCAGACACCUACGGGUGGCAGCAGUCGAGAAUCAUUCACAAUGGGGGAAACCCUGAUGGUGCGACGCCGCGUGGGGGAAUGAAGGUCUUCGGAUUGUAAACCCCUGUCAUGUGGGAGCAAAUUAAAAAGAUAGUACCACAAGAGGAAGAGACGGCUAACUCUGUGCCAGCAGCCGCGGUAAUACAGAGGUCUCAAGCGUUGUUCGGAAUCACUGGGCGUAAAGCGUGCGUAGGCUGUUUCGUAAGUCGUGUGUGAAAGGCGCGGGCUCAACCCGCGGACGGCACAUGAUACUGCGAGACUAGAGUAAUGGAGGGGGAACCGGAAUUCUCGGUGUAGCAGUGAAAUGCGUAGAUAUCGAGAGGAACACUCGUGGCGAAGGCGGGUUCCUGGACAUUAACUGACGCUGAGGCACGAAGGCCAGGGGAGCGAAAGGGAUUAGAUACCCCUGUAGUCCUGGCAGUAAACGGUGCACGCUUGGUGUGCGGGGAAUCGACCCCCUGCGUGCCGGAGCUAACGCGUUAAGCGUGCCCCCUGGGGAGUCCGGGCGCAAGAUUAAAACUCAAAGAAAUUGACGGGGACCCGCACGAGCGGUGGAGUAUGGUGGCAUAAUUCGAUGCAACGCGAAGAACCUUACCUGGGCUUGACAUGUAAUGAACAACAUGUGAAAGCAUGGGACUCUUCGGAGGCGUUACACAGGUGCUGCAUGGCCGUUGUCAGCUCGUGUCGUGAGAUGUUUGGUUAAGUCCAGCAACGAGCGCAACCCCUGUUGCCAGUUACCAGCACGUGAAGGUGGGGACUCUGGCGAGACUGCCCAGAUCAACUGGGAGGAAGGUGGGGACGACGUCAGGUCAGUAUGGCCCUUAUGCCCAGGGCUGCACACGUACUACAAUGCCCAGUACAGAGGGGGCCGAAGCCGCGAGGCGGAGGAAAUCCUAAAAACUGGGCCCAGUUCGGACAGUAGGCUGCAACCCGCCUACACGAAGCCGGAAUCGCUAGUAAUGGCGCAUCAGCUACGGCGCCGUGAAUAAAAUCCCGGGUCUUGUACACGCCGCCCGUCA